AUACGUAGGGGGCGAGCGUUGUCCGGAAUGAUUGGGCGUAAAGGGCGCGUAGGCGGCGCGGUAAGUCUGGAGUGAAAGUCCUGCUUUCAAGGUGGGAAUUGCUUUGGAUACUGCCGCGCUUGAGUGCAGGAGAGGUUAUCGGAAUUCCCGGUGUAGCGGUGAAAUGCGUAGAGAUCGGGAGGAACACCAGUGGCGAAGGCGGGUAACUGGACUGCAAUUGACGCUGAGGCGCGAAAGUGUGGGGAGCAAACAGGAUUAGAUACCCUGGUAGUCCACACUGUAAACGAUGAAUGCUAGGUGUAAGAGGUAUCGACCCCUUUUGUGCCGGAGUCAACACAAUAAGCAUUCCGCCUGGGGAGUACGGCCGCAAGGUUGAAACUCAAAGGAAUUGACGGGG
This 397-nucleotide ribosomal RNA is filed under the name uncultured bacterium. RNAcentral describes it as "partial 16S ribosomal RNA". It matches the Rfam family "Bacterial small subunit ribosomal RNA", at positions 523 to 918 of the family's 1533-position model. The record is from RNAcentral.